AUUCCCUGCAUACUUUGAGUACAAAACAGUGUUCCCUGGGGAGGCGGAUACAGGUUUCCGCUUGCCUUCCUCAUCAAGAGGUCCGGGUCCAACUGCUAUUACUGUGCCAAUGGAAGGUUUCUCUUUGGCUGCCUCUGUCAGCAGCAAGCCUCCUGCAGUCUUCUCCUCAGCUUCAGCUACCUUUAUAAAUACUCUAUCAGUCAAAG
This 206-nucleotide unclassified non-coding RNA is filed under the name Hevea brasiliensis (rubber tree). The record is from RNAcentral. Lineage: Eukaryota; Viridiplantae; Streptophyta; Magnoliopsida; Malpighiales; Euphorbiaceae.